Molecule: long non-coding RNA, 311 nt
Filed under: Trifolium pratense (red clover)
Lineage: Eukaryota; Viridiplantae; Streptophyta; Magnoliopsida; Fabales; Fabaceae
Description: long non-coding RNA (TPRA_LNC011839)
Source: RNAcentral
UACACCGAUUUUUGCAUGAUCUUCAAAAACUCCAAACCCACUAGUUUUUAUUCAAACAAGCAGGUAACAGUGAAAACACCGCGUACAAUGAAUCACUAUAAGAUGGCAUCUCUCAUUUUAAUGAACAGCAUUGGACGAGAGUAUCGAGGUUCAUGGUAAGACCGUGGUUGAAGGGAAACCUUGACACAAGCACUAAAAGCAACAAACUAGAUGCAUACGUACAGGCCUUUCUACUAACACCACCCCCUUCAAUCAAUGCCCCCAUUUCCCCAUUUUCAAAGUCGUAAUCUUUCUCUUUUUGUAUGCACGAU